Non-coding RNA from Myotis davidii, 76 nucleotides. The record is from Rfam. NCBI's taxonomy places the organism in Eukaryota, Metazoa, Chordata, Mammalia, Chiroptera, Vespertilionidae.
GGUGGUUCUCAGGUGAUGCACCCCGGAAUCGGGCUCCCUCCUCUCUGGUUCUGAGGUGUGUUACCCGAGAACUGCA